RNAcentral lists this transfer RNA (76 nucleotides) under Candidatus Cloacimonetes bacterium HGW-Cloacimonetes-1. RNAcentral describes it as "tRNA-Val". It matches the Rfam family "tRNA". From Rfam's summary of the family: Transfer RNA (tRNA) molecules are approximately 80 nucleotides in length. The record is from RNAcentral. Lineage: Bacteria; Pseudomonadati; Candidatus Cloacimonadota.
GGGUGCUUAGCUCAGCUGGGAGAGCGCUUGCCUUACAAGCAAGUGGUCGGGGGUUCAAGUCCCUUAGCACCCACCA